ACUCCUACGGGAGGCAGCAGUGGGAAUAUUGCACAAUGGGGGAAACCCUGAUGCAGCCAUGCCGCGUGUGUGAAGAAGGCCUUCGGGUUGUAAAGCACUUUCAGCGAGGAGGAAAGGGUGUGUGUUAAUACCAUACAUCUGUGACGUUACUCGCAGAAGAAGCACCGGCUAACUCCGUGCCAGCAGCCGCGGUAAUACGGAGGGUGCGAGCGUUAAUCGGAAUUACUGGGCGUAAAGCGUGCGCAGGCGGUUUGUUAAGCGAGAUGUGAAAGCCCGGGGCUUAACCUCGGAAUUGCAUUUGAAACUGGCAGGCUAGAGUCUUGUAGAGGGGGUGAGAAUUAUCAGGUGUAGCGGUGAAAUGCGUAGAGAUCUGAAGGAAUACCAGUGGCGAAGGCGGCCCCCUC
This 404-nucleotide ribosomal RNA is filed under the name uncultured bacterium. Its description in RNAcentral is "bacterial SSU rRNA". It matches the Rfam family "Bacterial small subunit ribosomal RNA", at positions 335 to 731 of the family's 1533-position model. The record is from RNAcentral.